RNAcentral lists this ribosomal RNA (497 nucleotides) under uncultured bacterium. RNAcentral's name for it is "partial 16S ribosomal RNA". It matches the Rfam family "Bacterial small subunit ribosomal RNA", at positions 28 to 507 of the family's 1533-position model. The record is from RNAcentral.
GAUGAACGCUGGCGGCGUGCCUAAUACAUGCAAGUCGAGCGAACAGACGAGAAGCUUGCUCCUCUGACGUUAGCGGCGGACGGGUGAGUAACACGUGGAUAACCUACCUAUAAGACUGGGAUAACUUCGGGAAACCGGAGCUAAUACCGGAUAAUAUAUUGAACCGCAUGGUUCAAUAGUGAAAGACGGUUUUGCUGUCACUUAUAGAUGGAUCCGCGCCGCAUUAGCUAGUUGGUAAGGUAACGGCUUACCAAGGCAACGAUGCGUAGCCGACCUGAGAGGGUGAUCGGCAACACUGGAACUGAGACACGGUCAAGACUCCUACGGGAGGCAGCAGUAGGGAAUCUUCCGCAAUGGGCGAAAGCUUGACGGAGCAACGCAGCGUGAGUGAUGAAGGUCUUCGGAUAGUAAAACUCUGUUAUUAGGGAAGAACAAAUGUGUAAGUAACUAUGCACGUCUUGACGGUACCUAAUCAGAAAGCCACGGCUAACUACGUG